This 74-nucleotide transfer RNA is filed under the name Mizuhopecten yessoensis (Yesso scallop). Its description in RNAcentral is "tRNA-Phe". It matches the Rfam family "tRNA". Rfam says of the family: Transfer RNA (tRNA) molecules are approximately 80 nucleotides in length. Their secondary structure includes four short double-helical elements and three loops (D, anti-codon, and T loops). The record is from Rfam by way of RNAcentral. Lineage: Eukaryota; Metazoa; Mollusca; Bivalvia; Pectinida; Pectinidae.
GACCAUAUAGCUAAAUUGGUAGAGUGUCCGUCUAAAAUUUCGGAGGGUCCCGGGUUCGAACCCCGGUCUGGCCG